AAAUUGAAGAGUUUGAUCAUGGCUCAGAUUGAACGCUGGCGGCAGGCCUAACACAUGCAAGUCGAACGGUAACAGGAAGCAGCUUGCUGCUUCGCUGACGAGUGGCGGACGGGUGAGUAAUGUCUGGGAAACUGCCUGAUGGAGGGGGAUAACUACUGGAAACGGUGGCUAAUACCGCAUAACGUCGCAAGACCAAAGAGGGGGACCUUCGGGCCUCUUGCCAUCAGAUGUGCCCAGAUGGGAUUAGCUAGUUGGUGAGGUAACGGCUCACCAAGGCGACGAUCCCUAGCUGGUCUGAGAGGAUGACCAGCCACACUGGAACUGAGACACGGUCCAGACUCCUACGGGAGGCAGCAGUGGGGAAUAUUGCACAAUGGGCGCAAGCCUGAUGCAGCCAUGCCGCGUGUAUGAAGAAGGCCUUCGGGUUGUAAAGUACUUUCAGCGGGGAGGAAGGUGUUGUGGUUAAUAACCGCAGCAAUUGACGUUACCCGCAGAAGAAGCACCGGCUAACU
Molecule: ribosomal RNA, 512 nt
Filed under: Salmonella enterica
Lineage: Bacteria; Pseudomonadati; Pseudomonadota; Gammaproteobacteria; Enterobacterales; Enterobacteriaceae
Description: bacterial SSU rRNA
Rfam family: Bacterial small subunit ribosomal RNA
Source: RNAcentral